GAUGAAGAACGCAGCGAAAUGCGAUAAGUAAUGCGAAUUGCAGAAUCCGUGAGUCAUCGAAUCUUUGAACGCACAUUGCGCCCCUUGGUUAUUCCGAAGGGCAUGCCUGUUCGAGCGUCAUUAUCACCCCUCAAGCCCUGGCUUGGUGUUGGACUUUAGUUAUAGCCUUGCCUAUCAACUGGUCUCAAAGAUAGUGACGGCGCCCCAGAGGGAACCGGGUACGAGGAGCUUUUUACUAAGCAUGUAUCUGGGACGACUCUGGGCGACGGUCUUGUUAUACUUUUUACCUAAGUGUUGACCUCGGAUCAGGUAGGAAUACCCGCUGAACUUAAGUAUAUCAAUAAGCGGAGGA
RNAcentral lists this unclassified non-coding RNA (352 nucleotides) under soil metagenome. Its description in RNAcentral is "partial contains 5.8S ribosomal RNA, internal transcribed spacer 2, and large subunit ribosomal RNA". The stretch from base 1 to 120 matches the Rfam family "5.8S ribosomal RNA", at positions 35 to 154 of the family's 154-position model. The record is from RNAcentral.